AGUCCAAUAGUUUAACGGUUAUGACGUAUCCUUCACAUCAGUUCACUAGUUCACUCUAGCUGAUCGGAUAAGAUCCCGGUUCGAUUCCGGGUUGGACUA
Non-coding RNA from Malassezia japonica, 99 nucleotides. The record is from the annotation of a RefSeq genome assembly. Lineage: Eukaryota; Fungi; Basidiomycota; Malasseziomycetes; Malasseziales; Malasseziaceae.